Dromiciops gliroides (monito del monte) is the source of this 301-nucleotide long non-coding RNA. RefSeq lists it as uncharacterized. The record is from RefSeq and is a predicted model, not a curated record. NCBI's taxonomy places the organism in Eukaryota, Metazoa, Chordata, Mammalia, Microbiotheria, Microbiotheriidae. The transcript is spliced from 3 exons.
UCCAGAUGGACAGCCUUGUCAUAUGCUAUUUUUAUGUCGUAUUUUAACUUUUAAAAAUGGGAGUAGUUCUUCACUCUAAGGCAUGAGAAUAUGAGUUCUUUGAGAGCUGGAAGAAUUUUACUUUUCUAUUUCAAUCUUUCAAGAUUAGCACAAGUCUUUGCAUAUAAUUCUUCAAGUUUUCUUGAUAAACAAAACCACAGAGACAACUGUUCAACAAUUAUUGGAUUAUUGUCAAGGCAAGCAUAACAUAUUCCUUACUAUCAUGGAGGAAGUCCUGCAAAGGUUCAAAUGACAGAGAUAU